RNAcentral lists this long non-coding RNA (3190 nucleotides) under Brassica napus (rape). RNAcentral's name for it is "long non-coding RNA (BNAP_LNC014845)". The record is from RNAcentral. Lineage: Eukaryota; Viridiplantae; Streptophyta; Magnoliopsida; Brassicales; Brassicaceae.
CUCGAUUAAAAACAGAAAAUAAUCUUCAAAAAUUUUAAUUUACACGAUAGAUGACGUCAUUUUUCCUUUUUUUUGUUAAUAAUUAUUUAUUUCCUUUCUCUCUUUCCUCUGAGUGUAGACUCUUCCCUCACACCGCUGUUUCUCAUAACCAUAUUCUCUUUCUGUGGACGAAACUCAACCUUAAUAAACCAGAGAGACCAAGAGAUAGCGAGAGACAGGAUUAGCCCAGACAGAGAGCUCUUGUCUCUGAAAGAACGUCAAACCUUCAAAAAAUGGCAUUGAAGUUUAAUCCUUUGGUAUCUCAGCCAUACAAACUCGCUUCCUCGGCUCGUCCGCCAGUCUCUACUUUCAGAUCUCCCAAAGUAUUUGUUGCUCUAUCUUUCUAUGUAAAUGUGUUUUUGCUUUUCAAAAAAGAGCUUUGAGAAAGAUUAAAGAAGAUAACUUGUCUUAACCUAUUUUUGGUUGGGGUUUUGUGAAAAACUUUAAAAAAUAUUGACACCAUACUUAGCUUAUUAAGGCUAGGAAAGGUUUAGGUUUCUUUACGCUUUAGUUGUUUUUUAACUAUAUUUGUAAACGUGUUAAACAUAACUAAUCAGUGUUAAAAGUUGCUGUAAUUGUUUUUUUCCAAAGAUCAAAGCAUAAAGUGUUACCAAAAAAGAAGAUUAAAGCAUAAAGAGAUAUCAUUUGGUAUAUCUUUAUGCCAGCGUAUAAUUUGUUUUUAUCUUUAUGCAAACGCAUACAUAUGUGGACAUGAAAGAACAACGCCAAUCAGGACACUUAACACAAACUCCCAAAAUGUCACUUAAAGCUAUAGUUGACACUUAACACAAACUCCCAAAAUGUCACUUAAAGCUAUAGUUCUGUCACGGUCUCAAUGAAAAUCCUUGUGCUAUCAAUGAAUAAACGUUGUGCUGAAACUGGCAGAGCACAAAACUAUAGUCUAAAAAGCAUUGAAUGAUGCAAAAAAAUGCAAGAACCAAAGGCGCAACGAUUCUCGCAUUUGAAUGAUAUUAGAAAUAUUUGUUUCAUCAAAAAAAAAAAAAAUAUUUGUUUCAUUUGCCAAGUGGAGACAUCCACGUGGUGGAGAAGCCAUGCCACUUGUACUUUUCGUGGGUUCUCACGCCGUGAGUUACAGUUGAAUAUUACAAAAUAAAAAGAAGAACAUUUUGUAUAUGUAUUGACAUUUUUACCCUUGCGCAUACAUGUGUUUUAGUAGGGGUGGGCGUUCGGGUUCGGAUCGGAUAUUUCGGAUUUUCGGAUAUUUCGGUAUAGAGGUGUAGAACCCGUUCGGGUAUUUUUGAACUUCGGGUCGGGUUUGGAUUUUUUUUAGUUCGGAUUCGGUUAUUUCGGAUCAGAUUCAGAUAUUUAGAUUUUGAAAAAAAUAAUUAAAUUUUUCAUUUUCAUAUUUUUUGUAUUUAAAAAUAUAACUUUCACUUAACUAAUUUUUUAUUUUUAAUAGAUUGAAGGGUUAAUAGAUUUGGACAUAACAUUUUGAAACUAAAAAUACAUUAAUUUGGUUAUUGUUUUUAAAUUUUGGAUGUAACUUUUUGUUAAUUCUUGAGAUAAAAAGUUUGACAUGCAUUUUAAGUAAGUAGUAAAUCAUUUUCUCCGUCAUUGUAUGUACAUCAUAUGAACUUAAAAUAUGUGUAGUGUCAAUAUAAAUAUUUUAUAUAAAAUAAGAGAUGUAAACUAGAAAUAUAAGGUUAAUUAUACAUAUGUUCGGUUAUCUUUGGAUAUCUCGAAUAUUACCCGUUGGGGUUUGGAUAUCCAAUCUCUUCUAAUUCAAUAUCCGUUCGGAUAUUUUGCUAUUUCGGUUCGGAUUUCAGUUCGGGUUUUUUGGAUUGGAUUCGGAUGCGGCUUCGGAUAUCGGGUAAAAUGUCCACCCCUGUGUUUUAGUGUUUAGAUCUAAAUUCACAACUAAAUCCAUCUCUUAUCAUCUUUAGUUAACUAAGGGACUCACAAGUCAAUUAAUCUAAUCAAAUCUAAAAUAUAGUAAUUAUAGCUUUACCGACAUGUGAUACUGCCAAAAAUAAUAAAUAUAUAGACACAACAAGGAUGUGAUAGUGAGGAAUCUGGAGGGCAUUUUAGAACUGAGGCUCGAUUAAAAACAGAAAAUAAUCUUCAAAAAUUUUAAUUUACACGAUAGAUGACGUCAUUUUUCCUUUUUUUUGUUAAUAAUUAUUUAUUUCCUUUCUCUCUUUCCUCUGAGUGUAGACUCUUCCCUCACACCGCUGUUUCUCAUAACCAUAUUCUCUUUCUGUGGACGAAACUCAACCUUAAUAAACCAGAGAGACCAAGAGAUAGCGAGAGACAGGAUUAGCCCAGACAGAGAGCUCUUGUCUCUGAAAGAACGUCAAACCUUCAAAAAAUGGCAUUGAAGUUUAAUCCUUUGGUAUCUCAGCCAUACAAACUCGCUUCCUCGGCUCGUCCGCCAGUCUCUACUUUCAGAUCUCCCAAGUUCCUAUGCCUCGCUUCUUCUUCUUCUCCUGCUCUCAGCUCCAAGUAUCUCUCUCUCUCUCUCUCCCUCCAUCCUCCUGUUUCAUUUCUUAAUAAUAUACUUUUACCGAUUGUCCACAAGAGAUUUGGUCCCUUGCUAUCACUUUGUUUCUGGGUUUAGCUUGUUUGUUCGGUUAUGGAUCUAUGUUCUGUCGACUUUAGCUCAAUGUAUUGCUUACCUCACAUUUGCUUAAUGUUAUUAUCAAUGGAUGUGCUUUCAAUCUGGAUGGGACCAUCUUCUGUUAUUCUCUGUCUUGGCCCCAUUGAUUCAUCAAUUCAAUGCUCUCCUUUCUUAAUCUAAUUAUUCUGAGAUAGAUUGCUCCAUGGUGUAUCCGUUUACCAUCAUAAUUAUGAGCUUUUAGAUUGCUUUUGAGAGACAUGGAACAAGUGACUUCAACAUGCUUCUUCUUACACUAUUCCUGAAUUCUCUGAUAUUUCUUCUUGUUCAAAAAAUAAAAAUAAAAAUUCAAAUCUUUUGAUGUUUAUUGUAUAAUUCUUUGUUUAAUAUUUUGACGAUGUCCACUUGUUGCUUUACUCAUUUGAUGAGUUUUUUUUUGCUGUUGUUGCAUUGAGAGGGAGGGUUCUUGAACAUAUCAGUUUAUGUUACGUUGGAUGUUAUAGAGAGAAGACAUGCAUGCGUACUUCGUGGCCUCCUCUCUAAUAGUUUCCGUCCAAAACUUUCACUCUUUCCUCU